RNAcentral lists this ribosomal RNA (620 nucleotides) under Aspergillus sp. Alaa 20-1. Its description in RNAcentral is "SSU rRNA". It matches the Rfam family "Eukaryotic small subunit ribosomal RNA", at positions 468 to 1093 of the family's 1831-position model. The record is from RNAcentral. Lineage: Eukaryota; Fungi; Ascomycota; Eurotiomycetes; Eurotiales; Aspergillaceae.
UGACAUAAAUACUGAUACGGGGUUUCUUUUGGGUCUCGUAAUUGGAAUGAGUACAAUCUAAAUCCCUUAACGAGGAACAAUUGGAGGGCAAGUCUGGUGCCAGCAGCCGCGGUAAUUCCAGCUCCAAUAGCGUAUAUUAAAGUUGUUGCAGUUAAAAAGCUCGUAGUUGAACCUUGGGUCUGGCUGGCCGGUCCGCCUCACCGCGAGUACUGGUCCGGCUGGACCUUUCCUUCUGGGGAACCUCAUGGCCUUCACUGGCUGUGGGGGGAACCAGGACUUUUACUGUGAAAAAAUUAGAGUGUUCAAAGCAGGCCUUUGCUCGAAUACAUUAGCAUGGAAUAAUAGAAUAGGACGUGCGGUUCUAUUUUGUUGGUUUCUAGGACCGCCGUAAUGAUUAAUAGGGAUAGUCGGGGGCGUCAGUAUUCAGCUGUCAGAGGUGAAAUUCUUGGAUUUGCUGAAGACUAACUACUGCGAAAGCAUUCGCCAAGGAUGUUUUCAUUAAUCAGGGAACGAAAGUUAGGGGAUCGAAGACGAUCAGAUACCGUCGUAGUCUUAACCAUAAACUAUGCCGACUAGGGAUCGGGCGGUGUUUCUAUGAUGACCCGCUCGGCACCUUACGA